GAGCAGCCAGGAACAAGGUGGGGUGAACCAGACAGAGCUGGAGUGCUCUCCCACCCCUGCUUUGCCCAGCCUCCCCGCCAAGCCCAUGAUUCCAAGCAAGAGACAAGGUCUCAUUCUGUUGCCCAGGCUGGAGUGCAGUGGUGCAAUCACGGUUCACUGCAACCUGGAACUCCAGGGUUCAAGCAAUCCUCCUGCCUCAGCCUGCCGAGUAGCUGUGACAACAGGUGCGAGCCACCAUGCCCAGCUAAGAUUUCACCAUGUUGCCCAGCUGGUCUUGAACUCCUGGCCUCAAGCAAUUCUCCUGCUUUAGGCUCCCAAGUUGCUGGAAUUACAGGGCUGCACGGAGCCUGCUGAGUCUCCAACCCACCUCGCUCACCGCUCUGACCACUGACAGGCAGAGCAAAGGAUGCGGGAGUUGCCUCUGCUGCCCAUCUAAGGGGACGUAGGCAGAGAAGCAAAGGCCUCUGCUCUCCCUCCAUCCAUCCCGGUGUGCUGGCCCCAACGGAACAGGAGUCCUUCAACUAUUGCCUGCCAGAGACCCAAUUGCAGGGACUGUAGUCUGCAUCUGGAUGAGCUGGGCUGUAGAUUGAAGUCUCAGAAGCAGGGAAGGUUGGAAGGGGUAGGGUCCCAGAGCCCAUGGAGUUAUUGCUGAGAAGAUAUGCAGGGGACACAUUCCCCAGGGGCAGAGUAGAAGCCCUGGGCCUGGAAUCCCCGGGCGCUCUGUGAAGGGGCGGGGCAGAUGGGGACUCCUCGUGGAAGCCCCUGGGAAGAAAUUAACCACGGAAGGGCAUAGCCUGCCUGACGUCAACGCUGGGCUCACCAGCUCCUUGCUUUGUAUCUCCAGUUGCUAAGAGACCUUCAGACUGGGAUCAGGUGGGAUAAGGAAGCAAGGUUUUUGUUAAAGGAGUGAAAGGAGUCCAUGAAGAAUGAUGACAAAGUGCUGCAAACCUUCCCAGGUC
Molecule: long non-coding RNA, 959 nt
Organism: Homo sapiens (human)
Lineage: Eukaryota; Metazoa; Chordata; Mammalia; Primates; Hominidae
Gene: FXYD6-AS1
Product: FXYD6 antisense RNA 1
Source: Ensembl